This is a regulatory RNA element of Actinoplanes friuliensis DSM 7358, 70 nucleotides long. It matches the Rfam family "L31-Actinobacteria ribosomal protein leader". Lineage: Bacteria; Bacillati; Actinomycetota; Actinomycetes; Micromonosporales; Micromonosporaceae. The record is from Rfam.
AAGGUUCCGGUUCACGCUCGAGUCGUCCGCCCUAGCGGGGCGGUUCGGUGCUGACGGCGACCCGGCGACC